UCAUCCGGGAUAUUGGAUGGUUCCCGGAUCCGGAAACGGAUCGGGGAGUAAAUGGGAAUGUGACGCGGCGGACCCAACCAGGGCGCUGCAAUCACGGCCGACCCCGCGACUGUAGAGUGGCGAGGGACGCCCAUCCGGACGGGAGGAUCUGCGCGGAACGGGGCAAUGGUGCCUUCGACCCGCGCCGUGACAACCAGCCGGAAAAGCCACUGGGUGGCAUCGCGAUCAGCAGGGGUUGGACGCCUCUUUCUCUACGAAUCGUCCGCCUUUUCGCGAUGCCGGAGCCUGGGAAGGCGAGGGCGACCCGCAGGCGUUUUUCAACGCCGGACGCUGCGAGCCAGGAGACCUGCCAGCCAAUGCGAAGGACAU
RNAcentral lists this non-coding RNA (369 nucleotides) under Shinella sp. WSC3-e. Lineage: Bacteria; Pseudomonadati; Pseudomonadota; Alphaproteobacteria; Hyphomicrobiales; Rhizobiaceae. The record is from RNAcentral.